This is a long non-coding RNA of Dermacentor silvarum, 11381 nucleotides long. RefSeq lists it as uncharacterized. Lineage: Eukaryota; Metazoa; Arthropoda; Arachnida; Ixodida; Ixodidae. The transcript has 2 exons. The record is from RefSeq and is a predicted model, not a curated record.
UCGUCCCCUGGCCAACAUUUUCAUUUCGGGUACUAUUCUCAAGUGCAUUGGCAGAACGCAACAGUUUUGGUUAGACGUUGCAAUGAAUGUUGCAUUACGCUAAAGCGAAUAUUAUCAAUGCAGAAUAUAGUCAAUGCUAGUCGAACCAUUUUAGCAGUGAUAAUGCCACGUCUUCGUAAAGUGCCAUCCGUAGCCCUAUUUCAUCAGUCACUCUUCAUGUAGCUCUCUGGUGGAGCUUUCGAUGUUUGGUGAGCAAGUUAUUACUGUUGCUGUUGUUUUUAUAAACAUGUGUCACCCUAAGCUUUCUUCUGCUUUCUGCAGCUUCUACAAGGGCACGAUCCCACGUCUGAGCCGUGUCUGCCUGGAUGUAGCUAUCACGUUCAUGAUCUACGACUCCUUCAUGGACCUCUUCAACAAGAUCUGGACGACAAGCUAAGCAGCCCGUCUCGCUUCCUGAGCAAACACUCACUCACAAACAACACGUCCUCAACACAAACCAGACUGACAUGACACUGCAGAGCUCUUCGUGUCACUUCCCGUUUUCUUGUCGUCGCCGUUUGCCAUCUCGUAAUGUUGCAGUAUCCACCUCAUGGUGCUCGCAUGAAGGGAUGAGAUUGCAUUGUCUUUGGGAAAGCAUGAACAGUAUGUGUUUUUAUUGUUUCAAGUACUCGGUGAUCAGUUGAAUGUUUGUGAGUUUAUUACGAAGCGCAGUUGGGGCAGUGUUGCUGUUAGUACAAUGCUGCUUUGUUGUCUGCUUUUGUCCACUUCUUGAGCUAACUGUGCGAGCAUUCCGUGCAAUCUCUUGCAUCUCGAUGUCUGCCCUGAUCUGAGAUGUUCUGGCCUUGUGGUUGAAUGUGCGAGGUGUUAGCAGCGGUCUUUGGAUAUUUGUUUGGUGUCCAUGGCAUCUGUCGAAGCUUUUCUGAAAAAUGUAAAGCUCUCUUCCUGCCUCGUGUACAUUUUUGGCACAGGUACUGUUUGCACCUGGUCGUGCAAAGCACACCUCGUACACCCUGUUUGUCUGCUACACCUACAGGAUAAUCUUCCGAUCGUCAUACUUUUGAGCAGCUGCAUCACAGAAUGAUCGAGAACUUUGUGAAUUUUGUAUUUCCAUGCCAUUGUGAUGAACGUUUGCUUUGGUGCAUAGCGGUAGAUGCAUUUGCAAGGAAGAGAUGCCGUUGCCAUGAAGUCUGUGAAAAGCUGAUUGUCUGGAUAAUUGACGAAUAUCAUAUUUGAGACAGCGUUGACGUAUCACCUGUGCAUUUGACCAUGGUAACUAGAAGCAAUUCAUACCGUCUCUUUAUUUUUUCAAUUGCUUUCAAGAAAUCAGAGGAAAAUGCACCCAGUUUGCUUAACUUUAGCAUGUACCAAGAAUAAUCGUUUUGCAACAUAUUGGGAACCUUGGUGGCUCUUCUGCCUCGUGUGGUGCCUAUAUUUUCUUGUUUACUUCUCGAGAAUACAAGCUUUCUCUGAAUUCUCCCUUUGGCUACUGUUGUUUCAGUUAAUUAUUUCUUAUUUAUGGCAGUUUACUAACAUCUUCAUCACUCUACUUGUCCGGCUAGUAUAGCAGUUGUCAAUACUUGCACUACUAAAGCGGGAGAUCCUUUGCAUUUCAACUUUCAUUCUGUCACUAUGGCUGCCAUUAUUGUUUUACUAUUUCCAUUUAUAAAUCCCGGCCAUGGCGGCCGCAUUUCAAUGGGGGCGAAAUGCGAAAACACCCGUGUACUUUGAUUUAGAUGCAUGUUAAAGAACCCCAGGUGGUCCACAUUAUUCCCGAGUCCCCGACUAUGGCGUGCCUCAUAAUCAGAUCAUGGUUUUGGCGCGUAAAAGCAUAUAAUUUAAUUUUUUUUUUAUUAUUUCCAUUUAUACAUCAAUGCUUGCACAUUCUGGGACCAUGGUCCACACUCUGCAUUCCUCUUUUUAACUAUCAUUUACAGCAUUCUAAAGAAAAUGGGAUUGGCUUUGCUUUUGUCUUGAAAUAUCCAUUGGAAUAAGCCACUGUUUGCAUGGGGCAAAUGCUACAUUGCAUUUUGAUCACUCUGUGCUAGGAAUGGCUGCUUUUUUAUUGCUUCUUUUUAUGUGUUGCCGUCCUUACAAACUGAUUUUUCGUAUCAGUUUUUUUGGGAACAUUUUUUUUUUUUUUUAGAAUGCUGCUUGUUUGAGAGUUUCAUGGUUUACAUUCCAGCUUCAAUAGUGGGACUUGGGAACCAGCGAAACUUGUUCACAUUAGGUUUACUUUGCUGCUAGUUAUCUUACAUUGUUAUGCACUGUAGUUUUAUCUAGCCUGUCAUGUUCCAGACUCAAGCAAAAUGGGUGGCAUGACUUUUAAGUCUAGAGAAAGGUGUUUAAAAAUGUUUCAGGUUAUUAGCAUAAGAGAAGAAGAAAGCUACAUGCAGGAGCAAUCUUUCUACUGCAUUAUCAGGUGUGAGAUGCUUUGUUUUCAGUUUGAAAGUAGUACAGCAAGUCGAGUGACCAUCUAUAUUGAGGUAGCUGUCACUGUGUUGCAUUUCUGCAAGAUGUUCUGCAGUCAACUCGGACUCGUUUUAUCUGAUCCAUGGCAAACAAACAGAAACUAGUUGUGUCGCAACUUUGGCAUUGGUGGUUAUUUUGAAUGAUCAGUCAAGGAGCAUAGAAGUGUCUGUUUCGAUGCCCGAACCACUUAGCGGUUGGCUUUAGUAUUACCCACAAAUUGGAGAACAGCCUGUACGGCUAGGCAUGGUAGUUUUCAUCGAGCAGUCUUGUCUGCCGUUAAUUGCGGAGAGCUCAGCACGAAUAGCCUUGAGCUUACUCGUGGCAAGUGUCACAAACAGCAUUGUGAAUUGGACGCUUGCUAAUUGAAUUUUUUGCCUCGUUUGAGCCUCUGUAAGGCCCUAUUCAAUACCAAGACAUUGUUGUUGCACUGUGUUUUUUUAUAUUGACUGCCAUGUUCUAUCUUAAAGCCAACUGCAAUGAAUUUUAUUUAGGCUAAGUUUGUUGUAAGUGCCUAGUGGAUGUCACCAAAGCAGUUUUUGCCAGGGCUUUAGGGCUAGUGGUAGCUGGGCUAUUUAGCUAACAGUUACCAUUUAGUGGAUGCCACAAGCACUUGGUGUGGUUUGUUGUCGUGCAAGGUGGGUGGGAAGUAAGUCCUGGAAUGUCGUCUCGCCAUGGCAUGUCCAGGCACAAUGAGGAAGAGAAGCUCUUGGUACUGGAAAAGCUACAUUUGCUCACUAUGGGAGCAGAGAGUGCUGUUACCACCGGCAGAUUUCAUUGCCUUGAAAGUGGGAACCAAAUGCGGUCGUAUUGCAAGCACCGGUGAUUUCCUAGAUAUUAUAGUACUUAUCUGCAGAGCCUCCUUGUGUUGAUGCUUUCCAUUUAUUGCUGUUCAAAUGCAAAGACAUCGCAACGAUACUACGUGAAAGAAUGAACAGACGAGCUUGAUCGGGUCGAAAAGGGUCUGGGUCCUGUCUCUGUUGCAGCAAGCAGUAACAGCAGCAUUUGUUUGUUUGUUUCAUGUUUCGUUUUUGUUUUUCGAAAUGGCUUAUUUAUGUGGGAUUCUUCUGAUGCAUAUGCUUGCAUUUCAAGACAUACAAUUUUGCAACAAGGAGUCUCUAUAUCUCAAGGCCUUUUAGCUUGAAGGAUCUUUGAAGUCGAGUGAACUUAUUGCGGGUCUAGCUUGCGCAUAUUUGUUAAGGUGGAACGCUGGCACACACAGACACACACACACACACACACACAUGCACUCAAACAAAAAAAGUUAUGCCUGUAGAGUAAUGAGACACUCGACCUGUUACUUUGUGGUCCGUGUACUUCUCUUGUGGAAGUGUUCAUCUAGAGAAUGCUCUAUAGCCUACCCAAUGAGCCAGGACUGCUGUUGCACAAGAACUUGCUCGUCAAGGGUCUAGAGAAUGCUCUAUAGCCUACCCAAUGAGCCAGGACUGCUGUUGCACAAGAACUUGCUCGUCAAGGGUCUAGAGAAUGCUCUAUAGCCUACCCAAUGAGCCAGAACUGCUGUUGCACAGGAACUUGCUCGUCAAGGGUCUUUGUGUGGUCAUACUGCGCUUGACAAUCAUAGUACGUAUCAGAUAGUGCUUACCACGGUGCCUCAAUGUACCAUGUGAGGCAAUUACACUCCUGUAACAGGUACAUCAGGCUUAUGCGGGGAGAUAUUUGUGUCCAGAUGUACGAGUGUUUUCUUGUCGUGUGCAUAUUUGCUGUCAAAUCCCUGGUGCUUGUAUAAAUAGCUGGUGGUCUCUUAUAAUUUCAUACUCGCUUGCGCAGGUUCCUCUGUAACUCAAUCGUUGCAAAGCGUCACGGUUAUUUAUGCGUCUUUGAAACAGAGCAGCAGCUUCAAUCCGUGUGACGUGAUCGUUUGGUGUCGUGGACGUUUCUUUUGUUGUGCGCCACGUGGGCUGAUGCUGUAGAGGCUACCUGUCGAACGUGUCAGCAAGAAAGCCACCAUGACUCGCAUGUUUAUUUUAGUGUACUCUGAUGACUGCUCAUUGGUUUUUUAUGUCUCAUGAAAGUGCUGCCGAGUGGCCAGGCGUACUGUGACACGGCAUAUACUAGGCCCAUGUUGUUUCAUGUAAAUCUUCCCACUACGCGGACAGUCUGCUGCUGUGCAACUUUGGUGAGCUAGUAUUUAGUAUAAAGAGAGAGCCUGUGCUUGCAGCAUGGCAUUACAGUACUUCUGUUAUUGUGAUGGCAAGAGUUGGUACGUUGCGUCAUUUGAUUUGCCUUGCUGUGUGGCCAGCACAACCGCCCUUGUUUUAGUGUUUUAUACUUUAUAAUAUUAAGAGAUAUAGUUAUUUUCAUAUACAUGUUAAAAGAAGCUUUCUUCUUUCUUUUUUUCUUUUUUUAAGCAGAGAUUUGUGGUCCUGCCGUGUUUUUAAAAUUUUAAAUGUCUGGCUGCUGUUUGCAGCACAUUCCGCUAUUGCAACGGCCCACAUUGGGAGCGAUGAUUCCGGUUGACUGAUUGAUACAUGCUUUUAGUGGUGCCAGCUGUUGUCUGCUGUAACCUGGCUGUUUUGCAUCUAAACACUGCAUGAUCAUGUUGUGGAGUGCGUCUGUUUCUAGUCACUCUGCUGAUGACAGACAGCCAUUGCAUGUGAAUGGCACAUUGUUUUAUAGCUCCAGUCAAGCGAGCUGUCAACGAGACAAAACCCAUGCAGUGAACAGCAUUGCUAGGUCAUGGAAAAAUAAACACACCGAUACUUUUCCGCGUUUGUACGUGCCAUAUCACGAGAUCAGUUCAAACAUGAGAUGGUGGUUACGCAAUUAAAGCUUAGUGGUAUUGCAGAUGAAAAAAGCCACAGCAUCUGGUCUUGAGGGACGCCGAAACAAGCCACCAGAUGCAUUCUGUUUUCUUGUGGAGAACUUCACUUCAAUGAUACUGUUGAAAAACAGGCUAGCAUCUUUAUCAGCAUAUCAGUAUACAAUCAUGCUCGCACUUAUGGUACAUUCUUUUGAGACACCAAUUCUGACGCUGAAAAAAGAAAAGUGCAGGUGUGCUACAAAUAAAUCCCUUGAGCAAACGAGCUGUUCUUGGUUGUAUCGAUUAGUUCAAAUUAAGUGGUCUUACUUGGACGCAUGCACGCUAAUCUCAACUUACAGGAAGCUUUAGCAGUCGUGGCAUCUUGGGCCUCUUGAUUUGAGAACCUACAACAGGCAGCAAAGAGCGCUCAAGUCCACAGUGAAAAAGCGCCUGCUUUAUACCGCCAGCCCAAAUGGCGAUCUACCCAUGCUGCGCCAACGACCACGUGGUGCGGUGCUGAGCCACAUGAUGCAGAGUCGUCGCUGCUUCUGUCUGUUGCACAGAUUGGCCUUAACAAGCUAAUGAUAACCCACAGAAAUCACCUGCCAUAAAGAUGAAAAAAGCCUGUUUCCUGGGAUUUUUAAACUGAAAACCUCAUUAAUAUUCAGGACAACAUAACUUCACAAUUUCUUCAGCUUCCGAGAGAAAGAAAGCAGUUGAUUCUACCUAACAGACAUUCUAUCCUAAAACCUUCCAGACCUUCCUACAUGGACGGAGUUAUCGAUGCUGGCAACUAAUUUUGUGUUCCAAGAGUCGAACACACUGUACAUCUAGAUUCAUUGGUACCUAAGCUACUGAUUGCCUUUAACAUACUUUUUACAAAGUGUGAGUAGACUCCAGGGGAUGUGCACCACAGUGGGAUUUUUUUUCCCCACACAAUUUGUUAGCAUAAAACCUAAUAAUUUAAUAAAUUGAUUCACCAUGCCCAGGCUUACUUACAUUGGGAUGGACUCUUGGUACAAGAGUUCUUUUAUUUUCUCUUAACUGGCUACAUGCCUGCACCACAUAAUGUUCUGCGAAUUGUCAGAAUUGUCAGAACAUGCCCAGAAAGUUCCACCAGAACCCAUGAGCUUGUCAACCCGAGCAUUUGAUGCCUGAUGUCACAGGCAAGCCUAUAAUGACAAUCAAUUUUCUAGUAUGUGCCAUGACCUAGUGAGGUAUUGUUCAUAUUUCGUGCACAUUUCUACUUGCAUGUGCUGCAACGUCUGUGUUUCCUACUUUCAUUUUAAUCUUUCCACCUUGGUUUGUGUUUGUACGUAGGCACACUUGUGACUCGCAAUUAUUCAAAAUUCUUAUUAAUGCAGGCAAAUCUCAAAAUUUUAUUUCACCCACUCGUUUAAUUCAACUUGAGAUAUGCCAACUUUCGAUAAUGCAAACAAAUAUUGGGACCUAUGUUCACAAAACUUCUCUUACAUGAGAGCAUUUCCUCAUUGGCCAACGUCCAUGCACAAGCCACCCAUGACAGAGAUUGAUGUGAUUGCAGGGGACGUAAAGACACUUAUACAGUCGACUUCCGUUAAUUCAACACUUACGGGAUCAACGAAAUUGAUUGAGUUAUCUGGCGAGUCGAAUUAAACAUCAGAACGGCAGAAAAACGUCAAAACACACCGCUGCCACCAUCAUUUGGCAGUAUUUGCCAGAUUCUAACAUGCCCCUAAAUCAAUUGUGCAACCGCUUUCGAUGCUUUCUAUGUAUUCAAGGUAGGAAACUAACGUAGAAAUAACAUUAAAGCUCCUAAGCAAAGUAGAAAUCUUAUGUGCACCCGAUUUUUUAGCAAGCAAAAUGGGCAAGGGUUAAUAAGUGUUGUACAGUAGCAGUUUCCUAAAGUGAACUUUGCCGCAGUACAGUCCUGUUAUGCGGUAAAGCAUACGAAUGCAGUUAUCGACCCAGUUUUUUGGGAUACAAAAGUAUGCAUUACAAUCGGGUAAAUACAGCUAUCAGACAUUGUGAGCUACUGUUGCUGGUUGAAAACCUUCCUAGGCCAGGCUGAAAAUAGAUGUUUUCAAUGGGUGAUGUAUGUUGAAUGCAUUCACUGUCCCCUAAGCUCUGCCGAAGGCAGAUGUUGCUAGUAAAGGGGUCGCUAUUGGGGUCACUAUAGGGGUCAGGCACAAGCCUGCCAACUAGUCAAGCUCAAAUUAUCCGGCAAAGGCUAAUUUUAGGAUUGAAAUAGCAAAAUUUUUGGCCCAUUGAAAUGCAUGAGCGCCGGCCGGGACCUUUGGUCAGAAUCAAAUUAACUGAAAAACCUAAUUGACCCAAGUUGAACUAAUGGAGGUCUACUGUAGGACUUUUGUGAGUACGGGCCCUUGUUCUCAGGAGUCUGAAAUAAUGCGAGUCAAAUUGUAGUAGAGGCGUGCUUUGUCAAAUGGCACAGAACAAAUCUGUGUGCAUGAUAGUAUUUGUAAAGUUGCUCUGCAAAGCCAUGAUAUUGCAUCUGCAGGAACGUGUGAAUGAUUGAUAACAUAUAUUUUUAUUGUCGGUGUUUUGUGUAGUCAAACUUUCGAAUAGAAUCAAGUAUGAUGGUGGAAAACAAAACUAGCUGCAAAUAUAGAAUUGAAUCAAGUGUUCAUCACUUUUUAAAACAAAGCGCAAUAAAAAGUUUCAAUAGAGCAUAGGCAACUUGUGUGAAAAGAGCGAUCAGUUUAUUAUAUCUUUUGUGAUCAGAAUUGCCAGCAGUAACAAGAAUAAAAGCAGAACCACACAACUAGAUGUACAUAGUGAUUAUAUCACUAAAAACCCAAACACCGUGUCACAUUAAGAAAAGAAAUUCAGCUUCACAUUUAUUUGUGGCCAUUGGUACGAAGAAAGAAGUCAAAUAAUUGAAUAAAAAUUAAUUUGUACAGUAAUUAAUUAGUAAUUGAUUUGCUGAACUAUCCACAGCUGAAAACUCCCUCCAGCAUAUCAAAAACGCUAUUAUGGGCUGUACCUUCGGUUGGCAGUGCUUAAAUCAGACAUUUUCGGCAUUAAGUUCAGUGUAUCCAAAUGAUACUCUGAAUACACUGGCUUUGUGGGGAUAUAGUAUUUAUGCAUGACUGACAAUUAACGAUCGUACAGAACCCAGCCACGACGGCCACAUUUUGAUGGGGGCGAAAUGCGAAAACACCCGUGUACUUAGAUUUAGGUGCACAUUAAGGAACCCCAGUGGGUCCAAAUUAUUCUGGAGUUCUAAACUACGGCCUGUCUCAUAAUCAGAUCAUGUUUUUGGCACGUAAAACCCCAUAAUUUUAAUGAUCGUACAGGAAAGGAGUUAGCAGUAAACUUCUAAUGUGAUGUCUUCUACCAGCAGUCUCAAAAUAAAGCACCCUUUACCAGUUAUAACACAAAAUAUCAGUUGCCCACUGGGUAAAUGGAGCCUCUGUGCUGUGCCUCUUACAACAGAAUCAAUCAUACAAAACAAAAGUUGCCAGUAUGGCUAAAUAUUCACAUCCAUAAUACGUAGCCAUUACAAUGCUGCCAUGUUUACUUUUGCUUUGUAAUGGUUUCUGCUGUCCAAUAUAUUCGGACAUGACCGAAUAUUUCAAUUUCCAAUAUCAAAUUCCCUACUUAAAUUGAAUAGGUGAGAUUGCUUGAUCCAUAUUCGUAAGUUUGUCUCUUAUUCGUAAGUUUGUCUCUUCACACACACCCUACAUUUAAUACGAAAACUGUCCCGGUGUCCGAGGCUAAAGCUGUGUCCGUGACUGUUGCCCAUGUGAUAUGCCAUUGUUUUGCUUUUAUGUGCACAUUAUCUGUCAAUUUGUGCCGCUGUUUAUGUUAGCAGUUAAUGUCGAGCCCACUUACGGCAAACUUGGUAGUCGUGUAGGAUUUAUUUCUAACCAAGUAUUUGCUGAAAAAAUGACUUUUUAGAAAAAAAAUGUGGUGACGACAUAACUUGCAAAAAAAAGGGGGGGGGGGGGGAUGGCAGCACGUUCGCUUCUCCGACAUUGGUUGAAGCUUGAUAGCUGCUUGCGUCUUAGCCAUUUUUCCUAGACUUCCGUCACUUAGCACUUUUGCUACAGCAGCACUUUUUGAUAUACCUUGACAAGUGUGUGUCGCAACUCUAUGUUUCGUCAUCUUGCAUCUUCCUUAAGCUUCGUAUGAAUGGUGGCACUGAUCACGCGAUUGGGAGCAACAACAAUUUGUUCUCUCAUUGAUUUUUCACAGAGAUAUCUAUUUCUACGGAACAGGAAACCGACCCACAUUUUCACAAUUACCGAAGGGGAAUUAACCACAGUGAACAUGUUAAUAGCAAGUACUCAGUGCCAAGGAUUCUGCUAUAGGCCUAGCUGCUCUAGAUAUGCUUUGGUAAUCUUUGCAGUCAGUCACGGAAGCUACAUGUUUCUUCUAAAUUUUAUUGUUGUUCACAAAUACCCAAGAUUCCCAAAUGGCGCAUUCAUUUCUGCAUGGCUUCGUGGUGUCGAAGGCAUUGUCGGCACGGGGACAGCCUAAUAACGAGCUUCAUCACCGGCACAUGUUGCUUCCUGAAUGUGUUUACUUAAUGUCCUGGUAGCAUUUAUUUUGCAACCAAAAAUCUCACUGUCCGCAAAGAUGGUUGAAAAUGUUUGUUUGGACAAGCAAUAAAUUUCUGAAAAAAAAAAGGAUAAAUAUUUCUGACCUUGCAACAAACUUUUCUUCAGCUGAUUGUUUCAGAGUGCUCUGGCAAUGCUAUAAAGUUGUGUAAGAGAGUGGGAUAAGCACACAAAAAUUAUGAUAAGAGACAUUGUAGUGGUCAUUUUGACCACCAGAGGUUUUUUUUAAUGCCUACAGAAAACUCAGUCUGCAUGCCACUGUUUUAGCUUUCUGCUCCUGUUGUCGUGUGGCCUGCUGCUGCUGAAAUUCACACAGAUUGUGAACUCGUGCUCGGACAACUGAAUGUCGUAGCCACCGCAGCAUGCGAACAGCAAUGAGGAGGAAAGCAGGCACGCAAUGGCAAAUGUCACCUCGCCAGUCAAUUGGGGGAAAUUUUGAGCGUUUGUUGAAAUAGUCAAAAGCCUGUGCAUAUUUAUCAUCUGAUGCACAGCAUCAUUCACCGAAUGCAGAUUGUCAUUAUUCGCUGUCUUCAUUCGUAACAACCGAGCAUGUGUUACAAAAAUGGCAUUGUAAAGUAAUACUGCACACUUUUCUUUGUGUUUUGUCCUCUCGAAUACACUGCUGAUUUGAGGUGGCAACCCAUCUCAUUUUAUAAUUGAACGUUGGGUGGGUUGGUUUAUCUUUAGAACAGCUUGAAAGAGUAAGACAGGCAGGAAGACGACACAAGAGUGUGGAGUCAUGUGUCACUUUUCUCUCUGUUCAGUUCUUUUGCAUUGUCGUUGAAAUAGUAUGUACUUUCCCUUCUUUUUAAGCCUUGCAAAUGUAGCAAGAAAUAUUAUGACCCUUUUGAUUGUACAGAAUGUGAUGGUCUGUUGAUGCUGGCUGUCGACAUGCAACUUUGUUGUUGUAAUUGUAAACGUGUGUGUAAUGAUUUCAACAGUGACAGCUGCCAAGUCCUAAUUGUUAGCAACGCAGCAAUAGUGACAGAGGGUGGGACUAGAAGUUUUUUGUGGAAAACUGCAAUACUGUUCACAGAUGCUUGCUUGUCAAUAACAUUCUGGGCAUUGCACAAGCUGUGUAUGCAAUAACUUGUUCCCAAAUUCUAUAGUUCUAUUUUUUUCUUGAUACGAACAUGUGUCCUGCACACAUAUGGAUGACAUGUUUUGUUGCGUUAAUGGUGCUGCUUACUUUUUUCUCUUUUUCUUUUUGUGUGUGUGUGUUUGUCAUUGAGAAGAUGUUUGUUGCUACAGCUGUCAUUGUUACCAUUUAUAGGAGAAAAGUUGUCUAUCUCCACGAUGUUGGGUUAUUUGGUUUACAGAGUUUCUGCAAAAUACUGUUGGCUUAGUGGUGGUAGUAGUAUAAUAUAUGUACCCUGUAGACAUGUGCGACAAUAGGAAUGCUUUGCUGUGCAGUCCAUGAAGCUGUGAACACUUCUUCAGCUGUGCUACUUAUGAUGCAUGCGCACUUUGCAAGGUGUUGCUGUGCUAAUGUGUGUCUGUUGUCUCCAUGCUGUAUACAAAAGUGAAAAAAAGAAGGCUGUAUCUAAGCAUUGAUGAGAAAAUAAAGGUCAUAAAAGAUAACUGUGGCAUUA